GAUGAACGCUGGCGGCGUGCCUAACACAUGCAAGUCGAGCGAAGCGAUUUCGAGGAAGUUUUCGGAUGGAAUUGGAAUUGACUGAGCGGCGGACGGGUGAGUAACGCGUGGGUAACCUGCCUCAUACAGGGGGAUAACAGUUAGAAAUGACUGCUAAUACCGCAUAAGCGCACAGGACCGCAUGGUCGAGUGUGAAAAACUCCGGUGGUAUGAGAUGGACCCGCGUCUGAUUAGCUGGUUGGUGGGGUAACGGCCUACCAAGGCGACGAUCAGUAGCCGACCUGAGAGGGUGACCGGCCACAUUGGGACUGAGACACGGCCCAAACUCCUACGGGAGGCAGCAGUGGGGAAUAUUGCACAAUGGGGGAAACCCUGAUGCAGCGACGCCGCGUGAGUGAAGAAGUAUUUCGGUAUGUAAAGCUCUAUCAGCAGGGAAGAAAAUGACGGUACCUGACUAAGAAGC
This 463-nucleotide ribosomal RNA is filed under the name uncultured bacterium. RNAcentral's name for it is "bacterial SSU rRNA". It matches the Rfam family "Bacterial small subunit ribosomal RNA", at positions 28 to 491 of the family's 1533-position model. The record is from RNAcentral.